GCCUGUUCAGCUCAUUCAGUGGAAGAGGGCAAGGCUCUUAACCUUGUGGUUGUGAGUUCUAUCUGAGCCCCUCACUGGGCA
Pleodorina starrii is the source of this 81-nucleotide non-coding RNA. The record is from the annotation of a GenBank genome assembly. Lineage: Eukaryota; Viridiplantae; Chlorophyta; Chlorophyceae; Chlamydomonadales; Volvocaceae.